Molecule: ribosomal RNA, 434 nt
Filed under: uncultured bacterium
Lineage: Bacteria
Description: partial 16S ribosomal RNA
Rfam family: Bacterial small subunit ribosomal RNA
Source: RNAcentral
AGCGAACGCUGGCGGCAGGCUUAACACAUGCAAGUCGAGCGGGCACUUUCGGGUGUCAGCGGCGGACGGGUGAGUAACGCGUGGGAACGUGCCCUCUGGUUCGGAAUAACUCAGGGAAACUUGAGCUAAUACCGGAUACGCCCUUUUGGGGAAAGGCUUGCUGCCGGAGGAUCGGCCCGCGUCUGAUUAGCUAGUUGGUGAGGUAACGGCUCACCAAGGCGACGAUCAGUAGCUGGUCUGAGAGGAUGAUCAGCCACACUGGGACUGAGACACGGCCCAGACUCCUACGGGAGGCAGCAGUGGGGAAUAUUGGACAAUGGGCGCAAGCCUGAUCCAGCCAUGCCGCGUGAGUGAUGAAGGCCUUAGGGUUGUAAAGCUCUUUUAUCCGGGACGAUAAUGACGGUACCGGAGGAAUAAGCCCCAGCUAACUUCGU